This 66-nucleotide transfer RNA is filed under the name Marmota monax (woodchuck). Its description in RNAcentral is "tRNA.Ala". Lineage: Eukaryota; Metazoa; Chordata; Mammalia; Rodentia; Sciuridae. The record is from RNAcentral.
GUUGUGGCUCAGCGAUAGAGCGCUUGCCUAGCAAGUGCAAGGCCUGGGUUCCAUCCUCAGCACACA